Molecule: long non-coding RNA, 664 nt
Filed under: Zea mays
Lineage: Eukaryota; Viridiplantae; Streptophyta; Magnoliopsida; Poales; Poaceae
Description: drought-responsive long non-coding RNA
Source: RNAcentral
AACUGCCCCCUUUGGCUUCCCGGACAAUCCAUCUACGCGCCGGCGCUCUCCGCACCGCACCCACCCAUCGAAAUUCCACUUCGCCUAAUUCCAAAUCGCCAAGGCCGAGCAGCAGCAAGCAAAGCCGCGCCGGUGAGGCUGGCUGUUGGAGAGGCAUGCCGCCUAAAUCCGAUAGCGUUGAAGGAAUCGUCCUGGGUUUCGUAAAUGAGGUGCGGUCUCUCUCUCCCCUGAACCCUACCCUAAACCCUUUCUUCUGCUUGCGCGAUUAGGAUUCGGUUAUCCCUCCGUGUGGUACUUAUGAAUUGUUCAGGAACCGUUAGGAUUGCAUGGAUGCGACAAAGCUGACUGGAGUAGUAGUCUAGGUGUAUUGAUUGUGCUUGAUGGCAACACGCUGUUUGAUGAAUACUGGCCAUUGUCAUUACUUUUCUUUCUAUAUGUUCAGUUGGAGUUAAUUAGUAUCAUAUGAAAACCCUGGUCCCAUUCCGAUUAAUCGUCAAAUAUCUACAUCAUCAAAUUAAUUUCAUUAAAAUCCACCGAGAUAUACUUGAUAUUGCAGUUGCUUGAUUUCCUAGAGGUUAAUACGGAUAUGGUUUUCAAUAAAUUAGGUCGAAGGUAGAGAAGUUUGACUUGUGGCAAAACAAAUAUAUUACGUUUUGGAAUGGAG